Glycine soja is the source of this 3818-nucleotide RNA transcript. It is a transcript of the gene named sister chromatid cohesion protein SCC4-like, with no coding region annotated. Lineage: Eukaryota; Viridiplantae; Streptophyta; Magnoliopsida; Fabales; Fabaceae. The record is from RefSeq and is a predicted model, not a curated record. The transcript has 17 exons.
CGUUAAGGCAAAAUAGCGGAGGAAGCUCCUGUUUGUUUUGUUUUCUUCAAUUUUCGCUUCUUUUUCUUUUCCGUGGCUGACUUUUGACUCCACAACUAAGCUAAGCAAAGUAGCGAGCAAAAACGCAAAAGCGGUAGUUGAAUUUUUGGUUGUGGAAUUGUCGCGUUGGAAUUGGAGGGAGAAGAGAAGAGGAUUAUUAGCACAAAAGCAGAAGCAGAAUCGCGUUUGGAUGGAAGCGGUGGCGGAGGGGCUAUGGGGACUGGCGGAGUACCACGAGAAGAGAGGGGAAAUAGGGAAAGCAGUGAAGUGCCUCGAAGCCAUAUGCCAAAGCGACGCGUCGUUUUUCCCUAUCGUCGAGGUCAAGACUCGUCUUCGCAUCGCCACGCUUCUCCUCCAGCAUUCUCACAACGUCAACCACGCCAAGUCGCACCUCGAACGUUCCCAAUUGCUUCUGAAGUCUAUUCCGUCUUGCUUCGAAUUGAAGUGCAGAGCGUACAGCUUGCUCAGCCAGUGUUACCAUCUCGUCGGAGCUAUUCCGCCGCAGAAACAGGUCUUGCACAAGGGACUCGAGCUCACUGCGUCCGUUGGAUACGAGAUUUCCAUGAAGUUGUGGUUUUGCAACUUCAAUUCACAGCUUGCAAAUGCUUUAUCAAUUGAAGGAGACUACCAGGGUUCAAUCUCUGCCUUAGAGUGUGGAUAUGCCUGUGCUACUGAAGUAUGCUUCCCGGAGUUGCAGUUGUUUUUUGCCACUUCAAUAUUGCAUGUCCGCCUCAUGCAAUGGGAUGAUGAUAAUUUGGUUGAGCAAGCUGUUAAUAGAUGCAACCAGAUUUGGGAGUCAAUUGAUCCAGAUAAAAGACGACAAUGCCCUGGCUUACUAUUUUAUAAUGAAUUACUGCACAUAUUCUAUCGACUGCGGCUAUGUGAUUACAAGAAUGCUGCACCCCAUGUAGACAAUCUGGAUGCUGCCAUGAAGAUUGAUAUGCAGCAAACACAACGUAUACAAGAGCUAGUGAAUGAGCUCAAUGCUUUAGACCAAAGUCUCUCCCGAUCUGACCUUCACUACAGGGAUAGGACAGCAUUAUCUAAAAAGCAAACAAUGAUUCAGGAGCAACUGAAAAGCAUGACUGGAUUGUGUUCAAUUGGGCAGGAAUCACUGCAACCAGUAUAUUUUGGGAAUGUCAGAAGGAUAAUAGGAGAUAAGCUUCAGUUAGCACCUCCUCCUAUUGAUGGCGAAUGGCUUCCUAAAAGUGCUGUCUAUGCAUUAGUUGAUCUAAUAGUAGUUGUAUUUGGGCGCCCAAAAGGACUUUUUAAGGAGUGUGCAAAACGCAUACAGUCUGGGAUGAAUAUAAUUCAAGAUGAGUUAGUGAAGCUUGGAAUUACUGAUGGUGUUAGAGAAGUGGAUUUACAACACUCUUCUAUUUGGAUGGCUGGUGUGUACUUAAUGCUACUAAUUCAGUUUCUUGAAAACAAAGUGGCUAUAGAGCUCACGCGAGCAGAAUUUGUUGAAGCACAAGAGGCUUUGGUACAGAUGAAAAAUUGGUUCAUGCGGUUUCCAACCAUAUUACAGGCAUGUGAAUGCAUCAUUGAGAUGCUUAGAGGCCAAUAUGCUCAUUCAGUUGGCUGUUAUCACGAAGCUGCUUUUCAUUUUAUUGAAGCAGUGAAGCUUACAGACAGCAAAUCAAUGCAAGCUAUGUGCCAAGUUUAUGCAGCUGUCUCUUACAUCUGCAUUGGUGAUGCUGAAUCUUCUUCACAGGCACUUGAUUUGAUUGGGCCGGUUUAUGGAGUAAUGGAUUCUUUCGUAGGAGUUAGAGAGAAAACAGGUGUUCUUUUUGCUUAUGGUCUUUUAUUGAUGAAGCAACAGGAUCUACAAGAAGCAAGGAAUCGCCUGGCAAGGGGAUUGCAGCUGACACAUACGUAUUUGGGGAACCUUCAACUUGUUUCACAAUAUUUGACGAUCCUUGGUAGUUUGGCCCUGGCAUUACGUGACACUGUACAAGCCAGAGAGAUAUUGAGAUCUUCUUUGACCUUAGCAAAGAAACUUUAUGAUAUUCCUACUCAGAUUUGGGUGCUAUCUGUUUUGACAGCCUUAUAUAAAGAAUUAGGUGAAAGGGGGAAUGAAAUGGAGAAUGCUGAGUAUCAAAACAAAAAAUUAGAAGAUUUGCAGAGGAGACUUACUAAUGCACAUGCAUCCAUUUAUCAUAUUGAAAUAAUCGACAAAGUAAGACUUGAAGUUCACCAAUUAAAUGAUUUGGACAUCAAGCGUGCAGUGGCAGGCCCAACUAUGGGAGUCAAUCUUGAUAUUCCAGAAUCAAUUGGUCUGUCAGCACCCUUACCUGCUCCAUCAUCAUCUAGGCUAGUUGAUAUAGACACCAGAAGACGGGGAAAACGGAGAAUUUAGUGUUUUCCUUGUACAGGCAAAUCCAUUAUUGUGAAUUACUUGCUAUCUAUUGCUCCAAGGUCCAAGUGGGAUGAAGAGUUUAGCAGAUAGGGUUUCCAGCUUCCUAGCAAGAUCCGUAGUGCACUCGCAUCUCUUCCUCAGAUUUUGACGAUGUGCGUAUGUCGAACACCUAAGUGAGCAUCAAGACCAGAUCCGUGGCGCACUCUCAACACUUUGCGGCAAAGUCGAAACCUUUUGGAGACCAAAUUCUUUCGUUGCUUGCUUGCUUCCAUUGGAGGGUGUCGCUUGGGGCACCGAGCAUUUUUUUGGGGCAUCCAGCAACGUGGGUGAAAGGGUAAAAAUGCCCUUCACCUUUAAUAUAAAAGCAGCACAGUGACUCGUCCGUACAAAUCACUGUACAUUUCCAAAAAAAUUUCUCCUUCGUCCCUCCUCGAGAAGCCUUCUUCUUCUUCUUCUUCCAAAAUCUGCCUCCUCUUCUCCUCUCCGGCGACCUCUUCUUCGUUGCCUCCUCUUCACUUCCUCGAGUUGUUCUCCCGUCAAGAAUGUCACCACACUCUCGUGCGUCGUCAUCACGUUGGACCAGCCUCAAUGAGAAACUGGAAGAGCUUGUUGCGAAUGUGCCUAGUAAGAAUUAACAUUUAGUUACUUAAAUGUUAAUUCUGUUUUGUGCUUGAAUGCCUGUUAAUUGGUUGAUUAUGUCAAAAUUAACCAUUGAAGAACACGGAGAGGGGAGGAAAAUGACAAACAGGAUGCUGAAUGUCGCGGCUCCAACAGAGGCUUUUUUCCAGACCGUUCACGCCAGGGACCAGAUUUUCGGUGAAGUUGGUAAGGUAUAUGCUGCCAAGUGGAAGGACAUACUGGAUAUUAUAUGACAUUUGGUUGACAAAGACGAAAAUUAUCAUAACGUUGUGUACAACAAAGAUUUGGAUCAACCAGCCAUUGUAGUAGGGUGAACAAUACUACGAGAUUUUUACCCGUUGACCGGAGAUCAUCUAGUAUCCUUGCAUCAUUAUGGUAAGAAUGUAUUUUUUCUUACUAUAUUCAAGAUUAGUUGCCUGUCCAGAUUAUGUUACCUUCAAGGGUUAUUUGACUGAGCAUAAAGUUUCCUAUAGCAGUCUCGACGUUCCAAGUCGCAUGUAUUAUUUUGUUAAAGACAAAGGUUGGACGCAUUUGCAUUUGGAGGACGUUGCAGAAUGUCGGCUCGUGUUCAAUCAUUAUAGGAAGACACUUAAAAUUGGAGCUAGAUGGAAAUAUUUCUGUGAGACCUUGUCGUUGAUCGCUGACAUGAAAAUUAUUUUUGAAUUCAUUGCUCCCAAUGUUAACCGUGUGCUCUAUUGGUCGUGUUUAUGAACAAUUUAGAAUUUUGAACAUUUUAAUUACUUUUAACAUUUUAAUAUUAUUAUGUACAUUUUAAUUCUUA